GCCCUGAGUAGGACCCGGUUCUUCUGCCCGCUAGAGCUAGAGCCGCCUCCCGCUCAGCGGCCUCGGAGUAGAAGAAAACAAACGUCUGGGUUGGGCGCUCCUCCGGUCUCUGUAAGGGCCCCCAUCCCGGUUGCCAGGAACGCCCGAGGCUGUGGGGUGAGGGAAUCGAGUCAGCAUGGUCCAAAAAUAAAGAAGGCCUGGAAUGAGCCUCCCAGGGACCAGGCCUAGAGGAAGCUCCAGACAAGGGUGCCAUUCACUGACCCGGUUGGGUUAAAACAAACACCCACACUCCAAGAAGGGGGGUAGCUGGGAAGGAGGGCUUGGAGGGCCAGAGUGGGUGGAGAGCCUGGCUGGGACUGUCAAGGCCACAGGUGCACAGACCCAGGGACCCUCCACCCCACCCCGCAGGCUCAUGGGCCUCGGCUGGGUGCAGGAGUGCCAGUGGGUUCCCAGCGGCCCGCGCCAGAGUUGGGGAUUUCCACCCGCCAGCUUCGGAGACCCGUCGCCGCCGGCGCUUUCCUGCUGGGGCCGCCAGAAGGCGGGGCCUCAGAACGGGAAGCCCUCCCAGCGGCCUCAAGGUCCCUAGGUCAAGUCUGUUAGUGGCGGGCAGGGAUCGCUGCAGUCCCUGGUUGGGGUGGAUGGACCAGGACCUCCAAAUAUUUUGACUUGCCUGAGCUGGGCGGUUCAACCCGAAACUCAGGAGGAAGGGAGGACACUUAGGACUGAGUACAUAUUUACAUGACCUUGUUCCACUUGGAGUUGGCUGACCCUAAUGGCUGUUUGACCUUGAGCAAAUGACUUGAACUUUCGUCGGUUUCUCAGUCUGUAAAAUGGGAAUCAUUACACUGCCUCCUUUGCCUGACUCAUUGGUCUGUGUGAAAAAUACAAUAUUAUAAUGUACUUACUUAAUCAAAUGUAAGAGAUUAUUAUGAACAAUGUAAUGACCAACAUUUGUCUAGAGCUCUGAAGUGCAUUCCCAGACAUUAUCUCACCAAUCCCCACAGCAGCCCUGUGAGGUAGGUGUUACUUUCAUCACUCUCCAGUACAGGUGAGGAAAGCAGGUCCAGAGCUGGUCAACAAUGACUGGAAACCAGGUUCUCUGGCUCUAAACCCAGCAUUCUUUCUUCUACCUCACCGGUUGCUAGCUUUUUUUUUUUUUUUUUGGUGGUGGUGAUGGUGAGCGGAAAGAUCCCAGAUGCGGCUAUGAAAUGGCAAGAAAGUGAAAUGCCUCUCUACAGGAGUAUACAGAUGAAGAAUGCCAGUGCUGUCCCAACAGGUCAUACCUACUGUGCGAACACCCACCGUCCUACACAUGAGCUGGAGACCACUUGAUGACUAUGGCAGGCUGCUGCCCUCAAAGCAUUUCUAGUCUAGGGGACGCCUAUAACCCUGACAGUCAAACCUGGCCUACCUGGUAGCUCAGUUGGUUAGAGCAUCAUCUUGAUAGGCCAAGGUCGCAGGUUAGAUCCUGGUCGGGGCACAUACAAGAAUAAACCAAUGAAUGCAUAAAUGAGUGGAACAACAAAUCGAUGUUUCCCCCCCCCCCCCUUUAUCUUUCUCAAGUCAAUAAAUAAUUAAAAACAAACAAACAAAAAACCUGGCUUACCUAUCACUGGAGCUAGAAAUUGAGGGAGCAGGUGGCCCCCAACCCUGACUCAUCUAGAGGACCACCAUGCUUUAACCUGAAUUUCCCUCUCUGGCCAGAUCCAGAGGAUUUAAGUCUGAUGUGUCCUU
This is a long non-coding RNA of Myotis myotis, 1734 nucleotides long. RefSeq lists it as uncharacterized. The record is from RefSeq and is a predicted model, not a curated record. The transcript has 3 exons. Lineage: Eukaryota; Metazoa; Chordata; Mammalia; Chiroptera; Vespertilionidae.